GUGGAUUAGCUACCCUGGUAGUCCUAGCUGUCAACGAUGGAUACUAGGUGUGGGAAGUUAUCGACGCUUUCCGUGCCGAAGCUAACGCAUUAAGUAUCCCGCCUGGGGAGUACGGCCGCAAGGCUAAAACUCAAAGGAAUUGACGGGGGCCCGCACAAGCGGCGGAGCAUGUGGCUUAAUUCGACGCAACGCGAAGAACCUUACCAAGGUUUGACACCAUACUGAAGGUUAGAGAAAUGUAACUGCCCGCAAGGGCAGUAUGACAGGUGGUGCAUGGUCGUCGUCAACU
Molecule: ribosomal RNA, 289 nt
Filed under: uncultured bacterium
Lineage: Bacteria
Description: partial 16S ribosomal RNA
Rfam family: Bacterial small subunit ribosomal RNA
Source: RNAcentral